Long non-coding RNA from Petromyzon marinus (sea lamprey), 2955 nucleotides. RefSeq lists it as uncharacterized. Lineage: Eukaryota; Metazoa; Chordata; Hyperoartia; Petromyzontiformes; Petromyzontidae. The record is from RefSeq and is a predicted model, not a curated record.
UAUACACCGAAUCCUCAUAUGCGAGGCAAUACGGAGUUCUAAAACACACGCGUCGCCUUUGCAACGCCCCCUCAACCACAAACCCCUCUCUUAAACUCACGAUACCUUUCCCUCCCCUUACAAAACAAGCAAUCUGCAUCAACUAAACAUAACACCGAACGUCACUUCUAGUCGGAUUUUUAAAAAAGCCACCUAUCUUCAAGUAAUAUUUUACACUGGCUUCAACAAAAACACUUUUUGUUAGCCUUGUAAGGGGCCUCAAACGGUGGUGGGUGGGGGCUAUUUGAGCAGUGGAAAAUUGCCGUGUGUCUACACUGCCCUUAGCCACUCUCCUCCCCCUAGCCCACUGCUGCUGCCCCUUCCCAAAAGCUUCUAACUCCGUAACGCAGCUCGUACACGACCUCUCGUAACCCGUCCCUUCGUCUCAAGUUACUGCUUGGCAAGCAAAUGCCAAUUGGUCGGCUAUACAUGACACGCCCACUGAAUAUGCAUCGCGAUAGGCUGCAACCAUGAAGCUCAAGUUCGUGGGGGCACCGCCAGCCACAUAGCGCGAACGCCGCCACAGCAGAGGAACAGAGCAUUGGAGCAACUGAUGUUGUCACACAAGCCGUCCAGCAACAUUAAAACGCGUAUUCAAGGCUGCGAGAGCAUACACCAUCUGGUAAAGAGCUGACCUCACGAGUUGCCUAACGGUGGUGUUGCAAUGGAUGCCUCUCCCCAUCAACCCACAAGUGUGCUGGCCCUGGCAGGGGAAAAUGCUGGCCAGCUGCCAGACACUGCAAAAUCAACAGCUGGAGAAGCAUCAAUCGCAAACAAACACAAGACCCAUUUCAAAGCCGAUCAUCGUUCAUAUUUUGGGAUUUUUUAUGAAAUGAUGAUUUAUAUCUUCUACAAAGAAAAUCCGGCUGGGGAUAUUGAGUCCAGAUCCAUUACACAGGAUGCAAGGUAUGCCACAAAGUGCCAAUGCAUUGUGACUGUGCUCAAACAGGACAUUGCCCUUCACAGUGUGACAGAAUACAAGUGCAAGACUGUCCUGCAGAAGAUGAAGGAUUACUUUUUCAUGCCAUCUAUGUUUCGGAUUGUGUUGGUGGAACCAAGACGAUGGCUCAGAGUCGUGCUGCUCAUCUUCCUGGCCGUGUGCCUGCUACAGCUUUGGCCAGUGCUGCUUCUCUUCAGCCCACUCGCGAUAUGCGUAUUUAUGUUGCAGGCAUACUGCGGAAUUUGUGCAUGGGACAAUGUUGAUGGAGAGAGACACGAUGCGAUGCAUUCCCACAUGCGUCCUGCAAAUGUACUCCCUGCUUGACUGAGCGUCCCUUUAAGUGUGCAUUUAGGAAAGGGCCACGGUUUGGGUGCUUUUUUUGAAUUAAGAUUCUCGACCCCUGUCCCCAUGUGACACACUGUACCUACAUGUCACCUUAGCCAUAACACUGCAACAUGUGUUUAAAUUUACCAGUGCAUGCUUCUGCCUUUACAUGCCAAAUAAAAAACACGUAUUCAUUUGAAAGACUUAUUAACACAAAACUCCUGUAUAAUAAUUGAGGUGAUUUAGAGUAUCGUACUAAUUUUUUUAUCAAUGUUGGAAGUGAAUGUAACAAAUAUGCAAAAAAACAAAUGUCUUUAAUGAGCAAAUAAUGUAGAUUUUAUAUUGCAGUCUUGUUUUAUGUUGGCAAAAGCCUACUGUGAAUAACGCAAACAUCUUAUGGUAAGCGCACUAAAUAAAUCUAGACGUAUGGCACACUCAAUGGACAGAAUCCCCAAACAUAAUAUCUCAUAGGUAGCACCUGAAGUUAAUAUUUAAAAUCACCUGGUCACUAUAUUUGAAGCUAAUUUCUAUUGUUUUCAUACUACAUUAAGUACAACCUUUUUACUACAAACCAUGACAAUCAUGAAACCACUUUUAAUAAUGAAUCACUUUCUGUAUUAAUCUCGAAAUACUAUCAUGAGUCAUGUCAUGUCUUUUAGAAUCACAUUAAAAAAUAUAUAAUUGUUGAAGAAUUAAAUGAUUUAAUUGCUGCCCUUUGUUAAUCUACUGCUAAAUGAAGGCUUCACACUUUCAAUCUUGGGGUUGUUUGACCUUACUUCACUGUGCUGGUCGGUGUCAGUUUGUGAAGUGGGGGGAAAUAAGACAGAUUCAGCUUUGAACCUAUGAAUAACCUAGGCUAAAUAAUCUAUCAGAGCAGACCAAACCUAUUUGUGUCAUACCACGCUGAGCAUUGAACUCUACUGAAUGGUGUAUGGGAUCAGUUCAGCAAGUCACUCAGACAGCCAUCAUGUCUACAUUUCACUGUAUAAUUAGUCAACCAAAUUCAAUUACGUUCCAUGCAUUUAACCAAAUUUUAACCAAGCUGUUGGAAUGAAACUUUUGACCCAAUCUUCCUCUGAAGGGUAGUAAAUUUUACUGAAACCAUGGAUUAAAGCAUUUCAUUGUACACAAAGGGAUAACGCAUUGUUGGGCUGUUAUAUAUUUGACUUCAUAUAAUGUUAAAUUUAGAUUUAAAGCUUUCGUGACUGCAGGGAUUCAUAUUCUUGGUUCUUUCGGUAAAGUCACGUAGAAGGGAAAUAAAAUAAUAAAAAUAUAAAAAAAAUAAUGUCAUUAAUAAUGGGUUUCAAUACUGCGCUAAUGACAAGUAUAUCACAUACUGUACUAUUGUUGGCCAUUAAGACUUGUAGCAAAACCUAACCAUAUGUAGCAUACGACAUAUGUUAUCGAAAACACAUGUUUACAUACGAACACGUAUCAAUGGAAAGAUGCAUCGUGGCACCUUCCAUAAAAAUAAACCUCUUUAAUACAAUAUAUUCGAGUUAUUUUACAACACACGUACAAUUCUGUAAAGGGUCUGCUGUUGUAUGCGUACGUUAUAUCAAUUGCAGACAUACUGUUUGCUUCUAUUGUCUUCAUGUCAGUCGCUAAUACUCAACACACAUUGAAUAUUGUGAUUAAAGAGUGUGAAGUUA